GGAUUGUAGUCUGCAACCCGGCUACAUGAAGCUGGAAUCGCUAGUAAUCGCGGAUCAGAAUGCCGCGGUGAAUACGUUCCCGGGUCUUGUACACACCGCCCGUCACACCAUGGGAGUCGGAAAUGCCUGAAGUCUGUGACCCAACCUCAGGGAGGGAGCAGCCGAAGGCAGGUCGGAUGACUGGGGUGAAGUCGUAACAAGGUAAC
This 206-nucleotide ribosomal RNA is filed under the name uncultured bacterium. RNAcentral's name for it is "partial 16S ribosomal RNA". It matches the Rfam family "Bacterial small subunit ribosomal RNA", at positions 1295 to 1500 of the family's 1533-position model. The record is from RNAcentral.